This 460-nucleotide ribosomal RNA is filed under the name uncultured Acidobacteriota bacterium. Its description in RNAcentral is "bacterial SSU rRNA". It matches the Rfam family "Bacterial small subunit ribosomal RNA", at positions 71 to 510 of the family's 1533-position model. Lineage: Bacteria; Pseudomonadati; Acidobacteriota. The record is from RNAcentral.
AAAGCCCCGCAAGGGGCAAGUAGAGUGGCAAACGGGUGAGUAACACGUGGGUGACCUGCCUUCGAGCGGGGGGUAACGUCCCGAAAGGGACGCUAAUACCGCAUAACAUCCCGCCUUUGAAGAGGUGGAGAUCAAAGCUGGGGAUCGCAAGACCCGGCACUUGAAGAGGGGCCCGCGUCUGAUUAGCUAGUUGGUGGGGUAACGGCCUACCAAGGCAACGAUCAGUAUCCGGCCUGAGAGGGCGGACGGACACACUGGGACUGAGACACGGCCCAGACUCCUACGGGAGGCAGCAGUGGGGAAUUGUUCGCAAUGGGCGCAAGCCUGACGACGCAACGCCGCGUGGAGGAUGAAGAUUUUCGGAUCGUAAACUCCUGUCGAAUGGGACGAACAGAUUGCGGGUGAACAGCCCGUAGUCCUGACGGUACCGUUAAAGGAAACCCCGGCUAACUCCGUGCCA